AGUGAACGCUGGCGGCGUGCCUAAUACAUGCAAGUCGAACGAUGUGGCGCACGGGUGAGUAAUAUAUAGUUAAUCUGCCCUACAUUGAGGAACAACAGACGGAAACGACCGCUAAUACCUCAUAGUGUAGUAUGAGACUAUAUGGUAUCAGCUAGUUGGUAAGGUAUUGGCUUACCAAGGCUAUGACGGGUAACUGGUGUGAGAGGAUGAUCAGUCACAUUGGAGGUGAGACACAGUCCAAAAUCCUACGGGAUGCAGCAGAAAGGGAUAGUGCGCAAUGGGGGGAACCAUGACGCAGCAACGGCGCGUGGAGGAUGACACUUUUCGGAGAAUAAACUCCUUUUAUCAGGAAAGCGGUACCUGAAGAAUAAGCACCGGCUAACUCCGUGCCAGCAGCCGCGGUAAUAC
RNAcentral lists this ribosomal RNA (408 nucleotides) under uncultured bacterium. RNAcentral describes it as "partial 16S ribosomal RNA". It matches the Rfam family "Bacterial small subunit ribosomal RNA", at positions 29 to 526 of the family's 1533-position model. The record is from RNAcentral.